GCCCUGAGUGUAGCUAAGUCAGUAGAGCAGGAGACUCUUGAUCUCAGGGUUGUGGGUUCGAACCCCAUGUGGGGCA
Non-coding RNA from Podarcis lilfordi (Lilford's wall lizard), 76 nucleotides. The record is from the annotation of a GenBank genome assembly. NCBI's taxonomy places the organism in Eukaryota, Metazoa, Chordata, Lepidosauria, Squamata, Lacertidae.